CUUGGUGAAGUGGAUGCUAUCUUGGUAGAUUUACCCUUGUGUGCGGAAGUUUGUGUUCUUCUACUCGCGAAUCUCAAGAUUUCGUCUCCAAGUCAGUCUAAUUUACUGCUAUAUCGUGUUGUAAAGCACUUGUAGUGUUCUCAUUACUUUGUUGCCACGACUACUCCUCAAGUCCUCUUUUCGUGGAUAUUGCGUUCUUUUCUGUACAGAGUGCAGUGAAUCUACCUCUGUGUUCGCAGCAGCAGGACAGGGUAAUUUCGGUGCGCGUUUCUCCAUUCAGAUUGGACUAUUAUCUCGGAAAAAGUUUUGCUUGCCGCAUGGACUUGAGUUUGCUGUGCGUACUUUCCCCCCUUUUUGGACUUAGGAGCAAGGUGUGUGUUACAGGCGGCCAUCAUCUACAAGUGUACCUUCAAAGUGGUCAACACACGGGUAAAUAUCACUUCUUUUUAUGUCACGCUUUCGUCUGUUUCUCAUAGAUCUGAAGUGUCUAUUCCUAGAUUAUUAUAUAUAUUUUUACCAAUACAUGUACGAUAUAAAUAGAGAUAUUUUACAUGCUUUUCUGCCUCUGUCUGUCUGAAUGCCUGUCUCCCGACCUGUCUUUUUCUCUC
Long non-coding RNA from Aplysia californica (California sea hare), 608 nucleotides. RefSeq lists it as uncharacterized. NCBI's taxonomy places the organism in Eukaryota, Metazoa, Mollusca, Gastropoda, Aplysiida, Aplysiidae. The record is from RefSeq and is a predicted model, not a curated record. The transcript has 2 exons.